This 126-nucleotide small RNA is filed under the name Salmonella enterica subsp. enterica serovar Infantis. RNAcentral's name for it is "partial RtT sRNA". It matches the Rfam family "RtT RNA". Rfam says of the family: This family represents a bacterial cis-regulatory element known as RtT RNA. The exact function of RtT is unknown although it is thought that it may be involved in changing the cellular response in relation to amino acid starvation. RNAcentral also lists the same sequence under 3 other names. Lineage: Bacteria; Pseudomonadati; Pseudomonadota; Gammaproteobacteria; Enterobacterales; Enterobacteriaceae. The record is from RNAcentral.
AAGUCUGACGAGGAUGAGAACCUCCGGGGGCAAGAGGUUCGACCCGAGCGAAGCGAGAGAACGUUGCGUCAGCAACGGCCCGCAGGGCGAGCCACGCAGUGGCGAGUCAUCCUCUAUCACCGACCA